AGUUGGUGUAAGAAGGCUGGAGAACCGGCUCAAGUUUACGCCUCCCACGUGAUCAGAGAUGAAAACAAUAAGGUGACCUGUCCUAUACUCAUGCGCUGUGUUUGCAGUAUAUGCAAUGCUACGGGAGAUAACGCACACAACCCCAG
Eurytemora carolleeae is the source of this 146-nucleotide long non-coding RNA. RefSeq lists it as uncharacterized. NCBI's taxonomy places the organism in Eukaryota, Metazoa, Arthropoda, Copepoda, Calanoida, Temoridae. The transcript is spliced from 4 exons. The record is from RefSeq and is a predicted model, not a curated record.